RNAcentral lists this ribosomal RNA (253 nucleotides) under uncultured bacterium. RNAcentral describes it as "partial 16S ribosomal RNA". It matches the Rfam family "Bacterial small subunit ribosomal RNA", at positions 524 to 776 of the family's 1533-position model. The record is from RNAcentral.
UACGUAGGGUGCAAGCGUUGUCCGGAAUUAUUGGGCGUAAAGAGCUCGUAGGCGGUCUGUCGCGUCUGCUGUGAAAACUCAGGGCUUAACCCUGAGCUUGCAGUGGGUACGGGCAGACUAGAGUGCGGUAGGGGAGACUGGAAUUCCUGGUGUAGCGGUGAAAUGCGCAGAUAUCAGGAGGAACACCGGUGGCGAAGGCGAGACUCUGGGCAGAUACUGACGCUGAGGAGCGAAAGCGUGGGGAGCAAACAGG